CUGCCUCAGCCUCCCGAGUACGCGGGACCACAGGCGCCUGCCAUCAUGCCCGGCUAAUUUUUUUUUGUUUGUUUUUGUUUUUUUGUAUUGUUAGUAGAGACGGGGUUUCACCAUGUUAGCCAGGAUGGUCUUGAUGUCCUGACCUCGUGACCCGCCCGCCUCGGCCUCCCAAAGUGCGAAUGAAAGCUUUAAGAGGGCUGCUUGUUUCUGGCAGCUCUCAGGUUCUUCCUGUCUGCCUCAGAAGUGGCAUAUUCCACAUACGGGCUGCAUCUUCAGUCUGGACUCAUCCUCUUCAAGAUGAGACAGGUGGAGCAGAGCUGCCACCAACCUCCGGUGAUUUCCACACAAUGUGUCCUAGAAGAAGAGACCCUACACUGGGCUUGUGACCAGCGGAAACUGAAUCAAUGCUGGAGACACAUUCUAACAGUCGAAUGGGCAGCUCACAGGAGGUGUUUAAUUAUUAUGAGUCAGCCAACCCAAUUUUGUGAACAAUGCAACACGGACAAGAAUGUUUGAAGGCACCAUGAUAAUGCCAUCCUAUGAGAUUUCUUUUUGAAAAAUUAAUUAGCCUUCAAUUGUUACAUCUUAACUGCCGUCUUCUGUCUCCCUACAAAAUCGUAGUCAUCUCCUACUUACCUACA
Long non-coding RNA from Homo sapiens (human), 641 nucleotides. Ensembl annotates it as long intergenic non-protein coding RNA 2438. NCBI's taxonomy places the organism in Eukaryota, Metazoa, Chordata, Mammalia, Primates, Hominidae. The record is from Ensembl.